CUUGUCAAGUAGUUCUAAACCAUACAAAAAGCCUCCUUCCUACCCAGAGGUUGUGAUUUCCGGGGGUGGAUCAAGUAGUUUGACUCACCGAGAAAAUGCCAAGUCAGCAUUUCUGCCCCACAAUGAGACGGUGUGGAAGAGAGCACUACACGCUUGGUAUGAGAUGGGCUCUCCAGGUGUAUUCGAGGAAAUUGUCAACAGUAGCAGUGAAG
Molecule: long non-coding RNA, 212 nt
Organism: Magallana angulata
Lineage: Eukaryota; Metazoa; Mollusca; Bivalvia; Ostreida; Ostreidae
Exons: 4
Source: RefSeq, a predicted model, not a curated record